Molecule: transfer RNA, 85 nt
Filed under: Felis catus (domestic cat)
Lineage: Eukaryota; Metazoa; Chordata; Mammalia; Carnivora; Felidae
Rfam family: tRNA
About the family: Transfer RNA (tRNA) molecules are approximately 80 nucleotides in length.
Source: Rfam by way of RNAcentral
GCCUGGGUGGCUUAGUUGGUUAAGCAUCCGACUUUAGCUCAGCUCAUGAUCUUGUGGUUUGUGGGUUCAAGCCCCGCUUUGGGCU